UUUCCAGUCCCCUUUAUCCCCAA
Molecule: transfer RNA, 23 nt
Filed under: Pimelea neoanglica
Lineage: Eukaryota; Viridiplantae; Streptophyta; Magnoliopsida; Malvales; Thymelaeaceae
Description: partial tRNA-Leu
Source: RNAcentral